Molecule: long non-coding RNA, 149 nt
Organism: Gavialis gangeticus (Gharial)
Lineage: Eukaryota; Metazoa; Chordata; Crocodylia; Gavialidae
Exons: 3
Source: RefSeq, a predicted model, not a curated record
GCCUGAAGCAAACUCUGACUUGCAUCUACUGAUGCAUCUCAAGCAAGACCUAAGAAGUUAUCCUCCCAUUUUACUCUGCCUUGGUGAGACCACAGCUGGAGUACUGCAUCCAAUUCCGGACUCCACACUUUAGAAAGGAUGUGGAGAAG